UUGGAAACAGAUGCUAAUACCGCAUAAAUCCAAGAACCGCAUGGUUCUUGGCUGAAAGAUGGCGUAAGCUAUCGCUUUUGGAUGGACCCGCGGCGUAUUAGCUAGUUGGUGAGGUAACGGCUCACCAAGGCAAUGAUACGUAGCCGAACUGAGAGGUUGAUCGGCCACAUUGGGACUGAGACACGGCCCAAACUCCUACGGGAGGCAGCAGUAGGGAAUCUUCCACAAUGGACGCAAGUCUGAUGGAGCAACGCCGCGUGAGUGAAGAAGGCUUUCGGGUCGUAAAACUCUGUUGUUGGAGAAGAAUGGUCGGCAGAGUAACUGUUGUCGGCGUGACGGUAUCCAACCAGAAAGCCACGGCUAACUACGUGCCAGCAGCCGCGGUAAUACGUAGGUGGCAAGCGUUAUCCGGAUUUAUUGGGCGUAAAGCGAGCGCAGGCGGUUUUUUAAGUCUGAUGUGAAAGCCCUCGGCUUAACCGAGGAAGUGCAUCGGAAACUGGGAAACUUGAGUGCAGAAGAGGACAGUGGAACUCCAUGUGUAGCGGUGAAAUGCGUAGAUAUAUGGAAGAACACCAGUGGCGAAGGCGGCUGUCUGGUCUGUAACUGACGCUGAGGCUCGAAAGCAUGGGUAGCGAACAGGAUUAGAUACCCUGGUAGUCCAUGCCGUAAACGAUGAAUGCUAGGUGUUGGAGGGUUUCCGCCCUUCAGUGCCGCAGCUAACGCAUUAAGCAUUCCGCCUGGGGAGUACGACCGCAAGGUUGAAACUCAAAGGAAUUGACGGGGGCCCGCACAAGCGGUGGAGCAUGUGGUUUAAUUCGAAGCAACGCGAAGAACCUUACCAGGUCUUGACAUCUUUUGAUCACCUGAGAGAUCAGGUUUCCCCUUCGGGGGCAAAAUGACAGGUGGUGCAUGGUUGUCGUCAGCUCGUGUCGUGAGAUGUUGGGUUAAGUCCCGCAACGAGCGCAACCCUUAUGACUAGUUGCCAGCAUUUAGUUGGGCACUCUAGUAAGACUGCCGGUGACAAACCGGAGGAAGGUGGG
This 1040-nucleotide ribosomal RNA is filed under the name Lacticaseibacillus rhamnosus. RNAcentral describes it as "bacterial SSU rRNA". It matches the Rfam family "Bacterial small subunit ribosomal RNA", at positions 150 to 1177 of the family's 1533-position model. The record is from RNAcentral. Lineage: Bacteria; Bacillati; Bacillota; Bacilli; Lactobacillales; Lactobacillaceae.